This 303-nucleotide ribosomal RNA is filed under the name uncultured bacterium. RNAcentral's name for it is "partial 16S ribosomal RNA". It matches the Rfam family "Bacterial small subunit ribosomal RNA", at positions 507 to 807 of the family's 1533-position model. The record is from RNAcentral.
AGCAGCAGCCGCGGUAAUACGAAGGGUGCAUGCGUUAAUCGGAAUUACUGGGCGUAAAGCGUGCGUAGGUGGUGGUUUAAGUCCGUUGUGAAAGCCCUGGGCACAACCUGGGAAUUGCAGUGGAUACUGGAUCACUAGAGUGUGGUAGAGGAUAGUGGAAUUUCCGGUGUAGCAGUGAAAUGCGUAGAGAUCGGAAGGAACAUCUGUGGCGAAGGCGACUAUCUGGGCCAACACUGACACUGAGGCACGAAAGCGUGGGGAGCAAACAGGAUUAGAUACCCCUGUAGUCCCUGUCUCUUAUAC